This 1491-nucleotide ribosomal RNA is filed under the name metagenome. RNAcentral's name for it is "bacterial SSU rRNA". It matches the Rfam family "Bacterial small subunit ribosomal RNA". The record is from RNAcentral.
AGAGUUUGAUCCUGGCUCAGGAUGAACGCUGGCGGCGUGCUUAACACAUGCAAGUCGAACGAAGCACUUUAUUUGAUUUCCUUCGGGACUGAUUGUUUUGUGACUGAGUGGCGGACGGGUGAGUAACGCGUGGGUAACCUGCCUUGUACAGGGGGAUAACAGUUGGAAACGGCUGCUAAUACCGCAUAAGCGCACAGCAUCGCAUGAUGCAGUGUGAAAAACUCCGGUGGUAUAAGAUGGACCCGCGUUGGAUUAGCUAGUUGGUGAGGUAACGGCCCACCAAGGCGACGAUCCAUAGCCGACCUGAGAGGGUGACCGGCCACAUUGGGACUGAGACACGGCCCAAACUCCUACGGGAGGCAGCAGUGGGGAAUAUUGCACAAUGGGCGAAAGCCUGAUGCAGCGACGCCGCGUGAGCGAAGAAGUAUUUCGGUAUGUAAAGCUCUAUCAGCAGGGAAGAUAAUGACGGUACCUGACUAAGAAGCACCGGCUAAAUACGUGCCAGCAGCCGCGGUAAUACGUAUGGUGCAAGCGUUAUCCGGAUUUACUGGGUGUAAAGGGAGCGCAGGCGGUGCGGCAAGUCUGAUGUGAAAGCCCGGGGCUCAACCCCGGUACUGCAUUGGAAACUGUCGUACUAGAGUGUCGGAGGGGUAAGCGGAAUUCCUAGUGUAGCGGUGAAAUGCGUAGAUAUUAGGAGGAACACCAGUGGCGAAGGCGGCUCUCUGGUCUGUAACUGACGCUGAGGCUCGAAAGCGUGGGGAGCGAACAGGAUUAGAUACCCUGGUAGUCCACGCCGUAAACGAUGAGUGCUAGGUGUUGGAUCCUUUCCGGGAUUCAGUGCCGCAGCUAACGCAUUAAGCACUCCGCCUGGGGAGUACGACCGCAAGGUUGAAACUCAAAGGAAUUGACGGGGGCCCGCACAAGCGGUGGAGCAUGUGGUUUAAUUCGAAGCAACGCGAAGAACCUUACCAGGUCUUGACAUCCCGAUGCUAUUUCUAGAGAUAGAAAGUUACUUCGGUACAUCGGUGACAGGUGGUGCAUGGUUGUCGUCAGCUCGUGUCGUGAGAUGUUGGGUUAAGUCCCGCAACGAGCGCAACCCCUAUUGUUAGUUGCCAUCAUUCAGUUGGGCACUCUAGCGAGACUGCCGGUAAUAAACCGGAGGAAGGUGGGGAUGACGUCAAAUCAUCAUGCCCCUUAUGACCUGGGCUACACACGUGCUACAAUGGUUGGUACAACGAGUUGCGAGUCGGUGACGGCGAGCUAAUCUCUUAAAGCCAAUCUCAGUUCGGAUUGUAGGCUGCAACUCGCCUACAUGAAGUCGGAAUCGCUAGUAAUCGCGGAUCAGCACGCCGCGGUGAAUACGUUCCCGGGCCUUGUACACACCGCCCGUCACACCACGGGAGUUUGUAACACCCGAAGUCGGUGAGGUAACCUUUUGGAGCCAGCCGCCUAAGGUGGGACAGAUGAUUGGGGUGAAGUCGUAACAAGGUA